GAGGGUAUAGCUCAAGUGGUAGAGUGCAUGCUUUGCAUGCAUGAGGUCCUGGGUUCUAUCCCCAGUAUCUCCU
Camelus ferus (Wild Bactrian camel) is the source of this 73-nucleotide transfer RNA. It matches the Rfam family "tRNA". Rfam says of the family: Transfer RNA (tRNA) molecules are approximately 80 nucleotides in length. Their secondary structure includes four short double-helical elements and three loops (D, anti-codon, and T loops). Lineage: Eukaryota; Metazoa; Chordata; Mammalia; Artiodactyla; Camelidae. The record is from Rfam.